AGCCUACAGGAUCUCCUUUACAAACUGGUUCCACGGUCUCUGCAGAUAUCUCCACACCACGCUGUGCUCAACCCGACUCCUGGGCUCACUUGGUCAUGGUGACAGCAUGUGCCUUGGAUAGGUACAGACCCCACCCCAGGGCACAGCUCCUCAGUGCUAGAGAAGAAUAAAAUUUCUUGGUUGCCAAGUGCACAUGGAGUGUUGGAAGAUCCAUGGGAUGCGUCGUGCAGAGCUGACUGAUGGGGCACCUGCCUUUCAGAGGAUACCUGUUUGCUACCAGGCUCUUACUCUAGAGGAAGACAGAGCCCUUGGCAUAGCUGGGGUGUCUGCUGUGCCUGUGGGUAGAGCACCUGCCGAGUGCUAGUGGCUGGGUGGUGGAGAUGCGGCACUGGAAAUUCCAUCUGCAGAAUGAACAGCUCCUUCAAGUUCCAAAUCCAUCUAUAGACAUUGGCCACAUACACAUCAGUGCAUAAGGUCAUCAUCGACUGCUAUCUUUCCUCCAUCGACUCAGUCCCCAAAAGUCAUAAUGCCCUUCCCUUUGAUGGUCAAAACAUAAAAUGGACUCAACACUGGAACGAGGUUCUACUGCACACAAUGAACAUGGUCCAACUGUGCACAAGGAACUUGAGUUUUCUUGUGGAACUUUUUGCAAAAUGUUUCAUAAGCUUCGGCUUCCAAGGAAUACUGUUGGAUCAGAGAGACAUGGCAACCAAAUGUGGGCAUGGGAAACUUCAGGGUCCUGAAAGGCAAGGAAAUUGAGCAACUAUAAGAAUCGUUCUUGUGCAACUGGAGAAUAUGA
RNAcentral lists this long non-coding RNA (799 nucleotides) under Homo sapiens (human). RNAcentral describes it as "novel transcript". The record is from RNAcentral. Lineage: Eukaryota; Metazoa; Chordata; Mammalia; Primates; Hominidae.